UACGUAGGGGGCAAGCGUUGUCCGGAAUCAUUGGGCGUAAAGCGCGCGUAGGCGGCCCUGUAAGUCCGUUGUGAAAGUCAAAGGCUCAACCUUUGAAAGCCGAUGGAUACUGCAGGGCUAGAGUCCGGAAGAGGCGAGUGGAAUUCCUGGUGUAGCGGUGAAAUGCGUAGAUAUCAGGAGGAACACCGAUGGCGAAGGCAGGUCUCUGGGCUGACACUGACGCUCAUGCACGAAAGCGUGGGGAUCAAACAGG
RNAcentral lists this ribosomal RNA (253 nucleotides) under uncultured bacterium. Its description in RNAcentral is "partial 16S ribosomal RNA". It matches the Rfam family "Bacterial small subunit ribosomal RNA", at positions 524 to 776 of the family's 1533-position model. The record is from RNAcentral.